RNAcentral lists this ribosomal RNA (380 nucleotides) under uncultured eukaryote. RNAcentral's name for it is "partial 18S ribosomal RNA". It matches the Rfam family "Eukaryotic small subunit ribosomal RNA", at positions 592 to 976 of the family's 1831-position model. The record is from RNAcentral.
CAAUAGCGUAUAUUAAAGUUGUUGCAGUUAAAAAGCUCGUAGUUGGAUUUGUGGUGUACUUCGGCGGCCCGUCACUAUGUGAUGGAGCUUGCUGAAGUCGCCAUCCUUGGGUGGAUCCUGUGUGGCAUUAAGUUGUCGUGCAGGGGAUGCCCAUCGUUUACUGUGAAAAAAUUAGAGUGUUCAAAGCAGGCUUAUGCCGUUGAAUAUAUUAGCAUGGAAUAAUAAGAUAGGACCUUGGUACUAUUUUGUUGGUUUGCGCACCAAGGUAAUGAUUAAUAGGGACAGUUGGGGGUAUUCGUAUUUCAUUGUCAGAGGUGAAAUUCUUGGAUUUUUGAAAGACGAACUACUGCGAAAGCAUUUACCAAGGAUGUUUUCAUUGA